Molecule: non-coding RNA, 4953 nt
Organism: Equus caballus (horse)
Lineage: Eukaryota; Metazoa; Chordata; Mammalia; Perissodactyla; Equidae
Source: RefSeq, a predicted model, not a curated record
GCCUUUUUUCAUUUCAUUUAUCAUUUUCAUCAGUGUGUGUGACUUUGAAGAAUUAUUCAUGAAGUAGACGUUUAUGUCAAUAUGAAGAUAUCUUUAUUCACUUGUUAGAAAAGAUUUUAUAUGAGAUAUUGUACUGAAAACAUAGGAACCGUAUAUUUAGUCUUUACAUUGUUAUUCUUUAAAAAAGUGCUUUUGAUUAUGGUCUCUUAUUUAUCCUUUUACUAUCUGGAGAUUUUUUAUCACAGUCUACAAUUUUAUAAAGAAAUAUAAAUUAUAGUAUAUAAUUAUUAUUUACCUUUUUCUCUUAAGGAGGUGUUAAAAGGUAAUAAAAUAAGUGAAGUCAGCUUUCUUUUGAAGUUACUAAGGUUAAAUAGUCUUUCUUUGCGGAUGAAUAAAUGAGUAUUUAUUAUUACUACUAAUUUUAAUAACACCUUAUAUUUAUUCAACUGCUAUGUAUCAGAUGGUGUAUAAAGUGUUUUACAUACAGUACCUCAAUUAAUCUGCCUAAUAAAUAGGUUUCAUUUUAGAAAUGAGAAAGCUUAUGAGAUAAAGGAACUUUUCUCAAGCUAAUGCAGUCCAGCCAUCGAGAUUCCACUUGGAGACGUCUCCUAGGAGGCUUCUGCUCUAUUAACUCCUUACUGUUCUAAACUGGCUCUUAAGAAUGAGGUGGAGGAUUCUCAUUUUUUGAAAGACACUUCAGUUUUCCACUUAAAUAACUUGUUUCUUAAAUCUGUACUCUGUUAGGAUCCAUUAGGUUCUGCUAGGGCACUUUACCAGUGACAGUUAAGGAGUGGGAAUGUGCUAAUGGUUGCCCAUUAUCCUGCAGGAUAAUCAGGUAAGGGAACAGAGUGGUACGGCUUAUGAUUCAGCAACAUUCAGUCAUAUUACUCUAAAUCAUAGUAAGGACAGCAUCUCAGUGAGCCAGCAUCCUUCCAGUGCAUGUAGUGACUAGGGCUGGCCUGUUGUUGGCUGGCUGUGUUUCCGUUCAACCAGAGUUGAUUUUCACCUUUUCUGAACUGAGCAUUUUUUUAUUACUUUUUUUUUAAAGUAUAGUGCAAUUAAAACAAAGGAUAUAUGAUCUUUUAAGGUUUUUAACGUUGUAGAUUCUAUUCUCUUACUCCUGUCAGGAACCAUCAUAUUUAUUGUUUUCUGUAAAAGAAAUGGAUGACUUUUUGGCUUUAAAUUUAAUUUCACUGAUCUCCCCCCCCCCUCCACAUUUCUUUCUGGAAUAUUGUUAGUUUAUUUCUCUGGGAAUAAUGACUUGAAGAAACUAGAUACGCAUAGUAUUUGAGAUAUUUUGUUUUGUUUGAUUUGCUUAUUAAUGUUAUUCUGCUUUCCUACUUAUAUUAAUUAUAAGACUUGCAUGCUUAUUUUAAAUCUCCUCAAUAUUAGGUCAUAGUUGCUGAGAUUUUAAAUGACUCUUGCUGACAGUAGCUCCUUCCUGUGUUACUUCUCAGUAAAUAUUUCAGAAGAUAGUACUGCUCUUAUUAGAUGACUUCUUAGCUUCUUAAAGCUUCUUACUUAACCAGGUAGUUAAAUUGACUUUUCACUUUUUAAACUUGGUAAUCUGUUAAUGCAGGGGAUAGAAACUACCAAAGAUAAAAACUGUCCUUGAUUGUGUUUUUAUUCUGUAUAAUAUCUGUAGCUUUACCCUUUUCUUCACGCCUUGAUAUUACUUACCUGCAGGAAAGUGUUGACAAAGAUUAUAUUGAUUUGUAGGUACUUCUGUCACCUGUGUCCACAAGAGAUGGCAUGGCCUUCAUGCUUGGGCUUCUCAAGGUUUCAAUAGAACCUGCUUAUCUGAUUUCAAAGCAUAUAGUUGUACCUUAGCAACUCUAGGCCUUUGAAAAGAGCAGAGUUGUCUGCUUUUCAUUUCCUGUCAGAAGUCUAAGAGAGAAGUGAUAAUUAGAGAAGAUCAUCUAAAGACUCCUGAGUCCCCUCCUCCCACCAAAAUGUGAUCAUUCCACAGUUUUUCCUAUUUUGAUAAAUGACAAUUCCAUCUUUCUAGUUGUUUAUGUCAGAAACUUUGUCAUCUGUGGAGUCCUCUCUUUUUCUUAUAUCCACAUCCAGUUAUCAGCAAAUCCUUUUGGUCCUACCUUAAAAAUAUAGCCAGAAUCUGACUUCUUACCACCUCCAGCACUCCCACUGGUCCAAGCUUUUAUCAUUUCUUGCCUGAAUUAUUGUAAAAAUCCUCCUAACUAGUUCUCCUGCUUCCACCCUUCUGCUCUUUACCAUCUAAUCUCUAUAUGUAAUCCUUUAUAAUAAAAAAUCCUGUUUGUAAUCCUUUAAAAUGUCAGUCAGAUUCCAGUAAUCCGCAGCUCAAGACCUCCUAAUGACUGUUCAUCUCACUUAAAGGAAAAGCCCAAAUCCUUAGAAUUAUCUGUAAGUCCUACAUGAUCUCUUGGUUGUUUCUCUGAUCUCAUCUCUUACCAGUCACUUCCUUACUUCCCCAUCAUCACACUAGUCUUGUUGCUGUUCCUCAACACCCCGGUUGAAACGCAAGUCUGCUUCAUGCCUUUGAACUUGGACUGCUUUUCUCUUAGAUAUUUCCAUGGCUUGCUCCCGAACUUUCUUCAGGUUAAUGCUCAGAUGUUACCUUAUUGAUGAGGGCUUAUCUGACCACUCUACAUACAAUAGCAAUACCUUCGUCCUGCUUUGUAUUUAAGUUUCUGUUGCUUCAUUAAGAAACCCCGUGGCCAGUGGUUGAGUUCGUGAGCUCUGCUUCAGCGGCCAGGGUUUCACCAGUUUGAGUCCUGGGUGCGGACAUGGCACCGCUCAUCAAGCCCUGCUGAGGCGGCAUCCCACAUGCCACAAAUAGAAGGACCCACAACUAAAAAUACCCAGCUAUGUACCGGGGGACUUUGGGAGAAAAAGGAAAAAAUAAAAUCUUAAAAAAAAAAAAUUCACUGGAACUAGAAGAUUUACUGAGCUUUAGAUUUCUGUACCCUUUAUUUUGUGAUUUGAUGCAUUGUUCAAAUUUUCAUAUGUUUGUUCAUUCAUUCAUUGAGCUGAUAACCAUUAUCUGCUAGUUAUGUACCAGUCACAUGACUUGGAAUUAUACAGUAAAAGCUGGUUUUAAAGACAGAGGAAACCAUGAGAAGCAAGAGGAAUCAGAAGCCUUGCCACCAUGAUGCUGAAGGAUUGCUGUAGUAGGAUCCCUGUCUGAAGCAUUCCUGAUACUCUGUUACCUGCAGCAUUUGAAAGGUUUUCUCCAACAUUUAAAAGCCUCUAGUUUUAUAAUCUAAUCAAACAGUGGCAUUGUUGUCUACAAUAACAACUUCUGAAUCUAGUAUUGAAGAUAUUUGUAAGGGUUGAAUUGAUUGGUAACAGAUUGUCCUUGUUUCUUUAGACUCCUGGCCUUACUUUCAAUUACGUGUAAAUGAAAUAUAUUUUAUUUCUCAAAACCAAUUUUUACAAAAACUCUGAGCUGUAGUUCCCUGAAGAUAUGAUUCAGAAGUAAUUCGUGAAGAAAUAGAAUUUAGAAUCUUCAUGGAGUAUCACAGGUGUCACUCCUAGGACUGUUUCUAGAAUUUCUCUGAUUUAAAAGUUCUCAAUGAAUGUGAUUUCUAAAGAAUUUAGUCAAGAAAAGUGGAUAAUCCUUUUAUAUUUACUUUUUCCUUUCUCAUAAUAGCAAUUGGUGACAUACUAUAUAUGCUUUUUAGCUUGGAGUUAGGAACUUUAGAGUCAAAUAUGCUACUCCUAUUAAUGGACAUUUGAGUUGUUCCCAAUGUUUGAUUAUUAUGGAUCAAGCUGCCAUGAACAUUCUUGUUUGUACCUGUAUGUUAGUGACCAUAUGCCUCUUUUCUUUUUGGCAUAUUUCUGGGAGUGGAAUUGUUGGCUAAUAGGGUAGGCAUAUGCUCAGCACUAGAUAUUACCAUUUUCAAAGUGUCUGGAUCAAUUUACACUCCCACCAGCAAUAUGUGAGAGACUUGUCACAAAAAGAAAACUAGUCUACUGUCCCGUCCUUACCCCACCCCAAAUCCUGAUACUCAGAGACAGCCACUUUCAGUCCCUUUAACUAUAUUAUUUUCCUACGUAUUUACCUUAAUAUUUUUAAGUAAGAUGCUCGUGUUGCUCUUUUUUAAAAAUUUUAGAUGUAUCUAUGGAAUAUAUUGAUGUAUUGACUAGAUCUAUUGAAUACACUAUGAAAUUUCACCUGUUACAGCUCUCCUCCUUCUUGCGUUCCCCAUCUUCCCAAUAGUUCUCUCAUUUUUUUGUUUAAAUUAAUAAUCAGUGUUUAGAUUAUAAUUAGAAUGUAAAUAUUACUCUCAGCUAAGUGGCUCAGUGUUCUAUGAACAUAUUCUUUCUAUAUGAUUUUUUCCCCUCAGGUAAGUAAUUAUUUUAUUGGAUUCAUUUGGGUAGUUUUCUCCCCUAAACUCUUUGACCAAAUUGUACAACUCCCCCUCACAGUGGUUGAACAUUCCAGGUCCUUUUUUUUCUUUUCUUGAGGAAAUACUACCUUUGAAACUCGGUUCCUUUGACUUUCAUUGGAGCAGUUUCUUUCUUGGCUGGCUUCAGAGCUGUUUUCUUAGGAAUGCCUGCUGUUCAUGAUCAUCCAGGGAAUUCUUUUUGCUUUUCAUCUUUGUUGGACCCCGUACUUUCUGAGUCCCAUGUUCUUUUUGUCUUAGUAUAUUAUUUUUUAAUUUUGUGCAGCGUAUUCUUCAUUAGCUUCCUGAGAAAGGGUACAUAGGAGAUCAAAUUUGAAAGACCUUGCUUGUGUGAUGCUGUUUUUAUUCUGUCUUCACACUUGAGUGAUGCCUUGGCCAUGUGUAGAAUUUUAGGUUGGCAAGAUUUUUCCUUAGAAUUUUAAAAGCCCUUGAAAGGGCCUGUGUUAUUGUCUAGCUUUUGGUGUUGCUGUGGAGACAUUCAGUAUCAUGUCUUUGCUCAGUUCUUUGUAUGAGUUAAUGCUUUUCAUUUUUCUUUCUUCCUUUUCUUUCUCUUUCUUUUUCCCUC